AGCUCCCUUUUAUAUGCGUGAUGUCUCUGAGACGUUUUGAGCCAACACCAGACCCAGGGGAGCCGGGUCAUACUCUGGUGAACGCGAUAGCCCUCGACUGGCAAGGCGGAAUCCAGGUCUAGGCUCCCACCUGCUAACGCAGGUUCAAAACAACCCGGACACACGGUAUGGAGGGGGGACU
RNAcentral lists this non-coding RNA (181 nucleotides) under Caldilineae bacterium. RNAcentral's name for it is "6S RNA". It matches the Rfam family "6S / SsrS RNA". From Rfam's summary of the family: E. coli 6S RNA was the first non coding RNA to be sequenced, but its function was unknown until recently. Lineage: Bacteria; Bacillati; Chloroflexota; Caldilineae. The record is from RNAcentral.